AGUGAACGCUGGCGGUAGGCCUAACACAUGCAAGUCGAACGGCAGCACAGUAAGAGCUUGCUCUUACGGGUGGCGAGUGACGGACGGGUGAGGAAUACAUCGGAAUCUACUUUUUCGUGGGGGAUAACGUAGGGAAACUUACGCUAAUACCGCAUACGACCUACGGGUGAAAGCAGGGGAUCUUCGGACCUUGCCCGAUUGAUUGAGCCGAUGUCGGAUUAGCUAGUUGGCGGGGUAAAGGCCCACCAAGGCGACGAUCCGUAGCUGGUCUGAGAGGAUGAUCAGCCACACUGGAACUGAGACACGGUCCAGACUCCUACGGGAGGCAGCAGUGGGGAAUAUUGGACAAUGGGCGCAAGCCUGAUCCAGCCAUACCGCGUGGGUGAAGAAGGCCUUCGGGUUGUAAAGCCCUUUUGUUGGGAAAGAAAAGCAGCAGGUUAAUACCCCGCUGUUCUGACGGUACCCAAAGAAUAAGCACCGGCUAACUUCGUG
Molecule: ribosomal RNA, 492 nt
Filed under: uncultured bacterium
Lineage: Bacteria
Description: partial 16S ribosomal RNA
Rfam family: Bacterial small subunit ribosomal RNA
Source: RNAcentral